Molecule: non-coding RNA, 542 nt
Organism: Pelobates cultripes (western spadefoot toad)
Lineage: Eukaryota; Metazoa; Chordata; Amphibia; Anura; Pelobatidae
Source: the annotation of a GenBank genome assembly
GUUUAUUGUGCUUAUGUACACAUUCUUACACAUUAGUACCCCCCACAGGGUUUUGGAACACAACCAAUAAACACAUACAAUACACUCAGACACUCCCACACAAAUUCCUCCCCUCUGCCUGUGAUUCAAUUACCUUACACAAUGGGUAAUGUAAUUUAGCACAAGCAGAGAAAUACAAUUUUUCCACAUUAUUCAUAACUUGAAAAAUAUGCAUCACAUUUACAUUUUCAGAAUCAGCAUACUCCAAAUACAAACAUAUGUCAAAAUCCUCCAAAUUGGUCCAGUGGUUCAAAAGAUAGAUCGUAGUCCUUUGUGACCAAAGGAAGCAUGGCUUUUCUGCCCAAAACCAGUUCUACAGAGUCUUCUAUGAUGGAUAUAAUUGGGAAGUAAUCCAAUUAUCUCCAAAGACAGAGGCAAAACUCCAUUGAACACAUGGCAGCAAAAGACAAUAAAACACAUAAAAACAUAUAACUGUGCAGCCAUUGCACAAAACAGGUACAUUCAACAUAUCCCCAGAUAGCUCAGAUCUGAGCGCACAUUAU